This 746-nucleotide ribosomal RNA is filed under the name uncultured cyanobacterium. RNAcentral describes it as "bacterial SSU rRNA". It matches the Rfam family "Bacterial small subunit ribosomal RNA", at positions 8 to 796 of the family's 1533-position model. The record is from RNAcentral. Lineage: Bacteria; Bacillati; Cyanobacteriota.
AGAGUUUGAUCCUGGCUCAGGAUGAACGCUGGCGGUCUGCUUAACACAUGCAAGUCGAACGGAACUUUUCGGAGUUCAGUGGCGGACGGGUGAGUAACGCGUGAGAAUCUGCCUUCUGGUCGGGGACGACCACUGGAAACGGUGGCUAAUACCGGAUGAGCCUACGGGUAAAAGAUUUAUUGCCAGAAGAGGAGCUCGCGUCUGAUUAGCUAGUUGGUGAGGUAAAGGCUCACCAAGGCAUCGAUCAGUAGCUGGUCUGAGAGGAUGACCAGCCACACUGGGACUGAGACACGGCCCAGACUCCUACGGGAGGCAGCAGUGGGGAAUUUUCCGCAAUGGGCGAAAGCCUGACGGAGCAAGACCGCGUGAGGGAGGAAGGCUCUUGGGUUGUAAACCUCUUUUCUUGGGGAAGAAAAAAAUGACGGUACCCAAGGAAUCAGCAUCGGCUAACUCCGUGCCAGCAGCCGCGGUAAUACGGAGGAUGCAAGCGUUAUCCGGAAUUAUUGGGCGUAAAGCGUCCGCAGGUGGCACUUCAAGUCUGCUGUCAAAGGUCGGGGCUUAACCCCGGGAAGGCAGUGGAAACUGAAGCGCUAGAGUGUCGUAGGGGUAGAGGGAAUUCCCGGUGUAGCGGUGAAAUGCGUAGAGAUCGGGAAGAACAUCGGUGGCGAAAGCGCUCUACUGGACGACAACUGACACUCAGGGACGAAAGCUAGGGGAGCGAAUGGGAUUAGAUACCCCCGUAGUCC